UAGGGAAUUUUCCGCAAUGGACGCAAGUCUGACGGAGCAACGCCGCGUGAGUGAAGAAGGUUUUCGGAUCGUAAAACUCUGUUGUAAGAGAAGAACAAAUUGUAGAGUAACUGCUACAGUCUUGACGGUAUCUUACCAGAAAGCCACGGCUAACUACGUGCCAGCAGCCGCGGUAAUACGUAGGUGGCAAGCGUUGUCCGGAUUUAUUGGGCGUAAAGGGGGCGCAGGCGGAAAUGCAAGUCAGGUGUAAAAGGCAGUAGCUUAACUACUGUAAGCAUUUGAAACUGCAUAUCUUGAGAAGAGUAGAGGUAAGUGGAAUUUUUAGUGUAGCGGUGAAAUGCGUAGAUAUUAAAAAGAAUACCGGUGGCGAAGGCGACUUACUGGGCUCAUUCUGACGCUGGGGAACGAAAGCGUGGGUAGCAAACAGG
RNAcentral lists this ribosomal RNA (428 nucleotides) under Verrucomicrobiota bacterium. RNAcentral's name for it is "Verrucomicrobia bacterium partial 16S ribosomal RNA". It matches the Rfam family "Bacterial small subunit ribosomal RNA", at positions 355 to 776 of the family's 1533-position model. The record is from RNAcentral. Lineage: Bacteria; Pseudomonadati; Verrucomicrobiota.